This is a non-coding RNA of Castor canadensis (American beaver), 847 nucleotides long. The record is from RefSeq and is a predicted model, not a curated record. Lineage: Eukaryota; Metazoa; Chordata; Mammalia; Rodentia; Castoridae.
GUUCAGGGGCCCCCACCCCCUUGAAAUUGUACAGAGAAUUGCUCUUUAGAGUUGCGAAUUUGUAUUAUGAUUUUCAAGGUCUUGGAACUACCUUUGUUGGGCUGGCUUCAAAUUCAACCUCCUCCACAUCCUCAGUAGCUGGGCUUGCAGAUGUGUUCACAGUUUUGGACAAAUUCAGUUAUUAAGACUGUGGGAAUAGUUAAAAUCCAAAACAGCCUUUGGAUAGAAUGUUUUGCAGUCUUAACCAACUUCACCCAGUUCCAAAAGAGGUUUUGGUUUGGAUGAUGAGUGCUCUUUUCAAACCUGGAAGGAAGAGGAUCUGCUCAGAACAAGACACUGCUGCCCAAUCUCAGGUCUACACAUCUGCCUCACCAAAAUUGCACAAUGGCCAGAAAACUUCCUUCUAAUAUAUGUUCGGUUGUCUUCAGUGCAGAAAUGCCUGUAUGACUUUGCUCAGUGAUGACCCUGUGAUUUGGGGGAAGGAAAUGGGAUUUAUUUAGAACCCUAAGCUGCUAAAUUUGUGUGUAAUGGGGAAUAGCUUGAAACAUGAAAUGAAAGAACAUAACAGCAAAAUUAAGUAACUUAAUUUGUGUUGCGAACACUACAGAAAACUGGUCUCAAGGUCUUUCUCUUCUCCCAGGUCUAGCUCUCUGGAUCUAUGCUUUUCUGGUAGAGGAACUGUAACAAAUGAUACAGUCUUGAAGGUCUAAAACCAUGGCCCUUGUAAGUUGAUGUUUCUUUCCUCGUAUGGAUUUUUAGGUCAUGCAAGGAUCUUCCUGAAGUUUCCCACUAGGAAAAACUUUCUGUUUCCAGUUCUUGCUCUUCCACUGAACUGGGAUGCCAAAUU